Trichomycterus rosablanca is the source of this 672-nucleotide non-coding RNA. NCBI's taxonomy places the organism in Eukaryota, Metazoa, Chordata, Actinopteri, Siluriformes, Trichomycteridae. The record is from the annotation of a RefSeq genome assembly.
AUGAUCUGGGUUCUUCUAGUUCUGUUCUCCUCCGUGUCCUACGUGCAUGGUGACAUCAGCCUGACCUCCUCUCCUGCUCAGGCUAAACCUCCUGGAGAUUCAGUGAAGCUGUCCUGCCAGGUUUCUGGCUAUAAGCUCACCGACUACGGUACAGGCUGGAUCAGACAGCGUCCAGGGAAAGCCCUGGAGUGGAUCGGGAUCAUAUGGGGUGGUGGAGGCAUAGCCGCUGGAGAUUCCUUCAAGUCUCGCUUCAGCAUCUCCAGAGACACGAACAACAACGUUCUGUUCUUAGAUAUCAGCAACCUGGUGCUUGAAGACGCGGCUGUUUAUUACUGUGCAAAGACUCACAGCUGUAGAACAGUGAGGAGUGAUGAGAUGAACCAGCCUCCUACAGAGGUCAAGAAACCUGGAGAACGUCUGAAGAUCUCCUGUAAAAUUACUGGUUUUGAUAUGACAAGCUACUACAUGCACUGGAUCCUGCAGAAACCAGGAAAAGCUCUGGAAUGGAUUGGCAGGAUGAAUACUGGCAGCAAUGCUGCAGAAUAUGCAGAAUCAAUGGAAGCCCGGUUCAAGCUGAGUGAAGAUGUUCAAGCAAGUACUCAGUACCUAGAGAUCCAGAGUCUGAGAGCAGAAGAUACUGCAGUUUAUUACUGCGCCCGACAAUCACAGUGA